Long non-coding RNA from Populus euphratica (Euphrates poplar), 204 nucleotides. RefSeq lists it as uncharacterized. The record is from RefSeq and is a predicted model, not a curated record. NCBI's taxonomy places the organism in Eukaryota, Viridiplantae, Streptophyta, Magnoliopsida, Malpighiales, Salicaceae. The transcript has 2 exons.
GCUAAAGACCCAAAAAAGAAACCUUAAUCUGGAAAGAAAUUUAAGGCUAAAGGUUUUAAGAGAAGGCGAGAUUUACAGGUGGAAACAAGAAAACAAACUUCGUUCAAGGAAAAAAGAGCGUAAGUUACGAGGGAGGUUGAGAGAGUAACAAAAUGUGGUUUAAGUUUGUUAUGAAAACAAAAAACAAAAGACAGAGAGAGAGAA